This 429-nucleotide ribosomal RNA is filed under the name uncultured bacterium. RNAcentral describes it as "bacterial SSU rRNA". It matches the Rfam family "Bacterial small subunit ribosomal RNA", at positions 355 to 775 of the family's 1533-position model. The record is from RNAcentral.
UGGGGAAUAUUGCGCAAUGGGCGAAAGCCUGACGCAGCAACGCCGUGUGAGGGAUGAAGGCUUUCGGGUCGUAAACCUCUGUCAGAAGGGAAGAACGGGCAUUGGUCUAAUAGGCCUUUGUUUUGACGGUACCUUCAGAGGAAGCACCGGCUAACUCCGUGCCAGCAGCCGCGGUAAUACGGAGGGUGCAAGCGUUAUUCGGAAUUACUGGGCGUAAAGCGCACGUAGGCCGCUUUGUAAGUCAGGGGUGAAAUCCCACGGCUCAACCGUGGAACUGCCCUUGAAACUGCGAAGCUUGAAUCCUGGAGAGGGUGGCGGAAUUCCUGGUGUAGGAGUGAAAUCCGUAGAUAUCAGGAGGAACACCGGUGGCGAAGGCGGCCACCUGGACAGGUAUUGACGCUGAGGUGCGAAAGUGUGGGGAGCAAACAG